RNAcentral lists this ribosomal RNA (301 nucleotides) under uncultured bacterium. RNAcentral's name for it is "partial 16S ribosomal RNA". It matches the Rfam family "Bacterial small subunit ribosomal RNA", at positions 509 to 807 of the family's 1533-position model. The record is from RNAcentral.
CAGUCGCCGCGGGAAAACGAAGGGUGCAAGCGUUACUCGGAAUUACUGGGCGUAAAGCGUGCGUAGGUGGUGGUUUAAGUCCGUUGUGAAAGCCCUGGGCUCAACCUGGGAAUUGCAGUGGAUACUGGGUCACUAGAGUUUGGUAGAGGAUAGUGGAAUUUCCGGUGUAGCAGUGAAAUGCGUAGAGAUCGGAAGGAACAUCUGUGGCGAAGGCGACUAUCUGGGCCAACACUGACACUGAGGCACGAAAGCGUGGGGAGCAAACAGGAUUAGAUACCCCCGUAGUCCCUGUCUCUUAUAC